AAAGAUCUAUUUACACAUAUGUGUAGUACGAUUGUAUAGAAAAUUUAUUGGUAUUAUAUAUCAUAGGUAGUAGAAAAUCAAUCAGCAGCGAAUAAGUGAGAGAAUCUUAAGAAUGAGAAUGCCGCCGCAAGGCAAACACAAGUGUUUCGAUAAUAUAAUUUGUAUCAAGUAUUCACGCGAUAUAUACGUUAUCCAAUAUCGGAUUCGGUUUCGAAAUAGCGCAGAUGCACGAACAAUCGAUGCAUCUGAAUUCAAACGCUACUUCAUCUCGAAACGUUUCCUAACCUCUAAAGUACUCGAGCUUUCAUUCGCGUCCAAUAGAAAUAGAUUAAUGAAUUCCCGAAGCCGGAUUUCCUCCUUACGCAUGAGAUAACAUCGGAUUAAACCUCGGUCGAUCGAUUUCCAUUUCUCCUUCGCGUCAACGCUCGUGACUUGCUCGUUUCGAUUCGGCCGGAGAUCGAAAUUGCCUGCCGGCAUUUAUUGUAAAUUAAUCUCGGGUAAACUCCACGAUUACAAAUUACUAUGCAUUUCCACGUAAUGCUUCAAUGCAGCACACUGUUCGCUGUAAAACGCUUCGAGGAGGAAGACGCUCGCGAGGGGGCAGAAUCACUUCUGUAUUACAAAAUAUCAUUACAUGGUGGCAUGAGCGCAAGUUAUGAGUUUCGUUUAUAAAUUUCCCCGUAGCGGUAUCUCAUUUAUUCGCGCAUUCGCUCGCACUGUGCUCAAUGUGCAAUUUUUCCCUUUCCUACGUA
Molecule: unclassified non-coding RNA, 752 nt
Filed under: Bombus terrestris (buff-tailed bumblebee)
Lineage: Eukaryota; Metazoa; Arthropoda; Insecta; Hymenoptera; Apidae
Description: misc RNA ENSBTSG00005026545.1
Source: RNAcentral